Non-coding RNA from Aegilops tauschii subsp. strangulata, 3444 nucleotides. The record is from RefSeq and is a predicted model, not a curated record. Lineage: Eukaryota; Viridiplantae; Streptophyta; Magnoliopsida; Poales; Poaceae.
GACAGCCUCCUCCCCCACACCUCUACAGUCUACAUCGCGUCGCCGCCAGUCUCCCCCGCGCACCUCCCUACCCUUGCUUACCUCCCUGCGCACCGCAGGAUGACUCUGACGCGCGCCCCGCUGCCAAGUGACUCCGACGAACGCCCAUCGCAAGUUCACCCACGGCGGGGCCUUCCACCUCACCGUCCACGCGGUCGACCUCCUCGCCGCCCGCGCUCUCGUUCCUCUUCAGCAACUCCAUGCCCAACUCCGCGCUCGAGCGCAUCACCCACAACACCAAGUCCAGCGAUUUCGGCGUCAUCGGCAUCUCUGUGGCGAACGCGUCUCUGCCUCCCUGGGGUUUGGGGUCGCUGCCAGGGACGCACAGGAUGGCACGAAGGCUGACACCAACACCGUGGUGGUGCUCCACCAGUCCGACGCUGGUGAGUACCUCCUCAAGGAGGAGGAGCUCAUGUGAGGUUCCACUUCGUCCUGCCGCCACUCUCAUCCUCGUCCGCCUCGUGGUCGCAGUCCUAGCCAUGGAUGAUGCCACUGUGCCGUACUCCCCACUUUCCCCUACAUGAUGACCCGCGCUACUCUGCCACCAUGCAAUCAGACGCUUGUCUCCGUCCCUAUCAGUCCACAGAGAUCAAUGUUCGGUGACUUAGAUAGCUUUAAUGCGCUGAGGAAGGGUUUGAACUGAGACGAGUGCCGGGAGAGGCUGAGCAGGAUUGCGAUGAGGGUGAGCCAUCAACGCUGCCGCCGGCGACCGUUUACCGCAACCAAGCCCGUGGCAGCUAGGUGCCGGCGACCAUGGCAUCGACCGUGUUGGCCCAUGGUGUUUCUGACCUUCCGCGCUCUGUUUUAGGCAUCCAGAGGUUGACUAGGUGGCUAGGAGCUCAGCUGGGUUCACUUGCAUUUGCAUUCUUUUAUGCAACGUCGGAUACCCUGGGAAGUUCAUGCAUGUUCUUUUUCUGAUAUGGUUUUCUCAUAGUGCAGGGCACGAAGAUAGGUCUCCUUUUAGUUACCACAAAUUUUAGUUUUUUCUGCUAACUGUCAUCUCCACUUUCUUAUCAGUUUAAGCAACUAACAAAUGAAUCUGUGCACAGUUCUACCAUUUUUUCACUCUUAUGGGGCCAUCUAUGUUGAGUAUGUGUGUUCUGCUAUUCUGCAACUUCAAUCAAGAAUGUAGUCUCAUGCGAUUGUCUUUGCUAAUACAAUUUGUAAUGCAAGCAAAAUUUAUUGCAUGUUCCAGCUCCUUCUAUUUUUAUUCAUGUGCUCUCCUUGUCAUGCUCUAAUUGAAGUGUACAUGCAGAUUCUCAAAAUUGCUUAUCAUCAAAUUACUUGACUUAUGUACAGCUUGGAUAUCAUUUAGUGAAUUUUACCUACCUCCAUGAACAUGAUAUGACCUGCUCUUCCCAGUUCUCUAAGGUAAUUUAUCAAUUUGCUGCUUAGUUAGGAAGAGGCUGAAUCGUGUUGGAUUUGCACCGAGAGGAAGCUCGUUGACAUGAUGAACAGGGUAGUGUUUACUGAGGGCAGCUCGGCAAGGAAGAGACAGGAUGUUUGCCAUUGACCUACACUGAAAGUGAGCGUAUUUACCUCAUUUGGUCGCCGUUUUCCCUUGAAUCAACUUUAGAUCAUGCAAUUUGCCAUCCUCUUCUACAUGUGUUUUUUAUUGGGUUUCGGUUUCAUUGGGAUUCUUCAUGAGAAUGAUCUACAUUUUUCAUGCUUUUUUACUUAUGUAGUAACGCUGAAAACAAUAAGAAACAAAUUUUUAUUGGGUUUUCAUUUGAUUGAGAUUCUUAGUGAAAAGAUCCACAAUCUACCUAAAUGCCCGUGGCAACGCACUACCAGACUAGAUUGAAAAUUGUUGUCAAAGAUACAAAACCAGUUAUCAAUAACAUAUAUAUGCAUAAGAGAUGACAAUUGAAUGUUAGGGAAAGUAUCUUUCAGAGUGCUCCUGCAUAUAAACAUGUUUCCAUGUUAAACACUACUAAGCGGCAACAGAAAUAUAGGUGAAUCUGGUCCCAAUGUGGUUUUUAUCCAAACUCCCUAAAUACCUGGAAAAAUAAUUCCACUUCUGGUUUUAGGGAACUGAAAAAAUAAUUAUUGAUCUGCAGGGCCAUGUCUAGACCAAUACUCAUCGACAGUUUGUCAUUCCUAAGAUUUUAUUAGUUUCAUGAAAAUGAAUUCUCCGACACAAUCCAAUGGACAUACUCCCUUCGAAGUGUGCGCGGCAAAGGAGUAGUUCAUGCCUUUCUUUAGCACAAUGAGGGAGUUAACCCACACUAGCUGCAUAAUCUGCUGACCGGCAGUUGCCUGGUUUGAGCGGACCAAUAGUUCCCAUGGAGAGCGAGGCUGUGCGGGGCACCUCGUGGAUGACUAUGCUUCAUCACCAAAAGAUAAUCUUUUUUUAUUAUUUGAUUUUCUUCAGAAUUUAUCCCAAUAAAAUUUGGCUGUGGCAACUCACGGGCACAUACCUCGACAAUAGUUAUUUCAGAAAAAGAGGCAAAAGAUCGCAUUAUAUAUAUCAUUUCGUAUAUCAUAUGGCAGCAAAAACACAUUGUGAUGGUUGCCCUCAGCUACGACAGUGCAUGUUUCUUAUAACCGGGAAUCGGCCGAUGCCGUGGAGAGGAGAGGAGGGGCGGACGACGCCAUGCCGGGAAGGAGAGAGCGGUGAGAGGAAGCUGCAAGCUGAAUGACAUGACAUCGAGGGGAGGUGGUGGAGGGAGAGAUGGCAACGACGACGAUGUGGCGAGGAGAGCAUGCCUGGGUAAUGAGAUAUGAGUGUGAGCGUUGUGCCUUGCGGUGACAGUCCGCGAUUGAACUACUUUUUUUUAAGAUGAGAAGAAAAGGAGCGGUUUUUUUAGGGAACCGAUUGCUUGCUAUGAGAGAAAUGUCACAUACUUUUUAUAUAGUGAAAAAUAUCACACACCCUAGCAGGUCAUUUCUGAAGAAUAAUUACCCACAAGUGAUUUACAGGUGAAUUUACAGUUUACUAAAAUUGAGAUGCGACUCACUAAUAAAAAACGUCAGAUGCUCGAAGCAAGCAGUUGAGCAAUGAAUAUAUAUUGUAUAUGGCCUUAUCUUAUUUUUAUUUUAUUUUAACAUGUGUUUAUAUAUUCACUUUUGGAGAAUAGAGAUAACAACUGAUGGUUUCGAAUGAUGCUUUGAAAAUACCGAUUGACAUAGCUAUACAAUGGAUGGACUAAAAACUCAUCGUGUCUUACACAAUUGGAAGAGACAUAUUCGAAUAAUUGUUCUUCCUUACAUAUUUGUUGUAGAUGAUAAUACAAAAAUGUGUCUCUCUUCUUAUUUUUAUAUAUGUUUAUUUUUGCAGAGGAUGCGAGAUGGAGAUGUAUUAUGCUGAUGUUCAAAAUGAUCCAUCAACAAGGAUGUUGACGCGAUGUUCUUGAAAGAGACCAAAAAUUCACUGAGUUUUAUACAAUAAUACAUGUAUAUUUA